GUGUUUUCAAUGGUAAAUCAGAGGAAAGGUCCAAUUAUAAUUUGAGGGUUGGGUUUACAUGUAAUUUUAGCGAAUGAAUAUAAAAAUGGCGGGUAGUGAACGGCACGUGGUUGAUGGCAUUAAUAAUCUGUCAACAUUUUUACUAACGCAUCAAACUCAACUCGAGCUGUCUGGUGUUCCAAGACAUUUUUGGAAAACCUUAUAUGACAAACUUUGUAAGGGAAUCAUGGAUGCUGGGGAAACUUUCAGCAUGAUCAAGCUUGAGUAUAGUGAUGAUGAAUCUGAAGAAGUGAAUUCUAACAACAGUGAAGAAGAGAACAAGCAUGACAGUGAUAACUCCAACACGAAAAAUGAAAAUACUGACAGAUGUCAUCUCCCUCUAUGGAAAGUUAUUGUAAUUAGAAAAGAAGGUGUUGAUCCACAGGAUCCACAACACAUCUACUUGAUUGAUCAUGCCUGGACAUACAGUAUCAGUGUGGCUCAUCAGCAUUUAGCAGAAAUUCCUGGGCUGUUGGAAAGAAUGCUUGCUAUGAUGGAGAUUGAUACUGAAGAAAAAUCUCGAGAAGAAAUGAUCACCAGUGUUUUGAGUAACAUGUGGAGGUACAACCAGUCAUAUAGCUUUGGAGGGACAAACAUUGAAGCUGAGAGUGCUUCUCCUUUGUGGUAUGUAAUGGAUGAAUUUGGAUCUCGUAUCCAGCACUCUGACAAUCCUAACUUUCGUACUGUACCUUUUUAUGAUGUUCCAGCACAGACUUCUUUUACGCUUCUCUUUCCGAUAAAGCAAGUGGAAUAUCAAGGGGAAGUGACUCGAGACUAUAUUGAAGGAUUAGCCACUGAUGCUUUGAGCCGCAAAGCCCUGAGAAUUCCAUGGGAACCAUGUGAUAUGAGUGAUGUAAACUGGAAUUGGUAUGAACAAAGUGAAAAUUUUUUACAGAGUGGUCGAGUGAAAGAGACUACUCCUGACCUAACCCAGGACUUUCCAGGUAUUCCAACAGAAAGAAAACUAAAAGUAUAUGCUGAGUAUAGUGUCAUAAGGGAAAAUUUACACCAUCCAGCAUUUGAAAUAGUACAUGAUGAAAAUGAAGCUGAUAUUCUGUGGUAUAAUUUUCAUUUCAAAGAAUACAGAGAUUUGAGCAUUAGUAGCCCUCACAAGAUGAUCAAUCAAUUUCCAUUUGAGCACAUCCUCACUGUGAAAGAUCUACUUGCCAUCACAUGCAGAAGGGCAGCACCAGUGAAUAACACUGUUGACUCAAACACUCUGAAGACAUGGCCUAAAUGGUUGCCAACAACUUAUAAUUUAAAGACUGAAGUGCCCCAGUUUGUUUCUUACUACCAGCAAAGAGCUGUAAGGAAACUUGACAAUCAUUGGAUUUGCAAACCUUGGAAUUUAGCUCGUAGCUUAGACACUCAUGUUACAUCAGAUUUGAACUUCAUUCUCAGACUCCCUUCAUCAGGACCAAAGAUAGCUUGCAAGUAUAUAUCCAAUCCUGUGCUCUUUCCGAGAGAUGAAAUUGGCAUGGUGAAGUUUGAUUUUAGGUAUCUUAUUCUUUUGCAAAGUGCUCAUCCUUUAAGACUAUAUGUCUACAAACAUUUUUGGUUGAGGUUUGCAAACAAGCCCUUUUCCCUGGAUAAUUUUGAUGAUUACGAAAAACAUUUUACAGUGAUGAACUAUACCAACACAACCCUGAAAUGUAUUGCCAUGACUUUAUUGAGCAGUUUGAGGCAUAUUAUCCUUCGUUCAAGUGGAAGGAUAUUGAGAAAGAUGUGUUUGGAAUUUUAAAGUCAGUGAUGGAAGCAGCUACAAGCAAGCCACCACCAGUAGGUCUUUGUUCAAAUCCUCAAUCUCGAGCUAUGUAUGCUGUGGACAUGAUGCUGGAAUGGGACCAUAGUAACCCAGAUAAGCCACAUAUACAACCUAUGCUCUUGGAAGUUAACUGGGCUCCAGAUUGUCAGAGAGCCUGCCAGUAUUACCCAGAGUUCUUUGAUGAUAUAUUUUCUGUUCUUUUUUUGAACAGUAUUGAAAAUCG
RNAcentral lists this unclassified non-coding RNA (2027 nucleotides) under Limulus polyphemus (Atlantic horseshoe crab). RNAcentral describes it as "tubulin--tyrosine ligase-like protein 12, transcript variant X4". The record is from RNAcentral. Lineage: Eukaryota; Metazoa; Arthropoda; Merostomata; Xiphosura; Limulidae.